Schistocerca americana (American grasshopper) is the source of this 2134-nucleotide long non-coding RNA. RefSeq lists it as uncharacterized. The transcript has 6 exons. The record is from RefSeq and is a predicted model, not a curated record. Lineage: Eukaryota; Metazoa; Arthropoda; Insecta; Orthoptera; Acrididae.
AUCAUGGCUGUGAUUGAUUCGUUUGGUUAAUAACUUUGACUUGGCGAGUCUGUUGUGCAAGUGUUUCAACUGUGAUGGAUAGAACUGGGAAAGAAAUGUUCCUGCUUGUCAAUUAGUAAUUUCAUAUUUCGAGAGAAUGGAUGGGAAUAUGCGUUACGUACCUUGGAGAGCAGCGAGUGAAGGAUCAAGGGUUGAAUUAGUGUGUGACAUAGCAAAAUCAUAUCAUCACAGCUCCAUGCAAUUCAGAAUGUGUCACUUGAACAUGUUAAGGCAAUUGAAUAGUAAAUGGAGUAAUGGAAACCAUCUACAAAGAGACUGGUGCAGUUAGUACUUUGUGUUGGAGUGCAAAAAAUAAAAGCUGCUGACUGCAAGCCGGUAAGAGCACUGGAUUGACAGAUUUUUCCGGGUUUCAAGGUACUUAUUACUGGACAAGUGGAUUGUUACAGAGGCACCGUCAUGUUGGAAGAACACAAUUUACAGCUAAUUGGUGAAGCUGAUUCGCUGCUUAUAUCAAAUGCACCAAAGAAUGUUUUGGCAAGGGCACUGACCAACCAACAAAUCUUAGGCAAAGAAAUGAGGCAGCAUUCCUUGUUGAAGAUGAUGACAGUGACACCAUUUUUGUGCAGGGAGUAGGUUCACAAUUGAGUCAGCUGGAAGAACAACAGCAAAGGUUGGAACAACACUCAGAAAAUGCUAGAAAUGUUAACGACAGGCCAUGAGAGGAAGUACACCCAUUUGAAGAUGCGUACCAGAGAGAAGUGGAGAUGAUGGACAUGGAAGAUGAUAUAGAAACAGUAGAACACCAGGCAUUGUUUGCUAUAUCCAGUAAACAUACUGUUUCACAUAGUCAAAGCAGUAUUUCUAAGAGAGAGAAUCGAGCGAAUGGUGGCAUUGUGGUAGAAAUAGUGCUGCUCAGAGAUUAUGACUUUUCCUUAAUGUCUCAUUUACUGGUCUUGAACUGACUACAGAACUAAACCGAAGGCUAGAAAUUGUAGAAGUCGUAAAGACUACCACAAAUUUGUGUAGGAGUGCAAGCCCAAGAAGAGAACCCGAGGUUAUAUCUCAUUUAGAUGAUUCGGAUGUCUCAGAGUUUGUUCAUGCAGCCUGGUCUGGGUGAUAUAUGCCAUGAUGGUGAAUAAUUCCUAUAAACUGCAAAAGGAAAGUGCAGGCAAGUUCCAGACGCUGCUUGCAAUGACAGUGAACUUGAAAGAUGAGAAUCAAGCAAAAGUCAGUUCCUUUUUUAGUAGAGGCUGUACUUCAACAAACAGACAACAUUCUGAAUUAUCCAAAAUUGAUUUUCGUGCUGCUGUUGAGAAACAUAGUGAGGAAGAGCCUAGAACAGCUCAGAUUUCACUGCGACAUGGUCAUGUGUGUUUAGGAAACUUUUUUUGGCCCAUUUGUUGAACCUGCAUUUGAAGACCACAGCCAGCCAUCCAUCCAUCCAGCCAUCCAUCCAUCCAUCUCUUCUGUUAGUAAUAUUGAGGAAAGUGUCUGGUGAUUGACAGGAAACCAUUUUUUUAUAUACGACAAAGAAAAGUUGCAAAACUAACUACAGCUGCUGUGUCCACAGUGAAGAGGUUUCUUUUGCCUUUGACAUCCUUUCUCAAGACAAAAUUUGAUGGUUGGUAUCUGACCAUAAAGCUGUGUGAUGGAUCAGCAACAUUGGAAGUUCUGUUUCCCUCUAAUAUAUUUCUUCUUGAAGCAAGCUGUGUUGUAUAGUGUCACCUGGAAGAAGAGGCCUCAGAAGUCACAAAAUGGUUCACUUUUUAACAAGAUUAUGUAAGUGAAAAAAACCAUUCAAGCAUAUAUUACAGAUGGAAGUAAUUAAGCUACAUCUAAAAUCAUGGAUUUUUCAAGUGUCACGUAAAUUCCACAUAAUUAAACUAUUAACAGUCAAGAGCUUUAUUUUGAUAUAAAUAUAUUUUACAUUGAAAAAGCAUUGUAUGAGUUCAGUCAGAACUGAUUCUUGAGUGUACUGAAAGAAGAGGCUGCAUCAAGAGCACCACUCAAGGUCUGAGAUGUAUACAAAUUUUCAAGAUCCCAGCAAUAUAUUGUCACUAUGCUGUAGAGAUACUUGCCAUCAUUUGAUUGAUUUCCAUCAGCUGUAGUUUUAAAAUGAAACUUCUCAAGUUAA